This 328-nucleotide long non-coding RNA is filed under the name Cricetulus griseus (Chinese hamster). Its description in RNAcentral is "lncRNA (ENSCGRG00015038129.1)". Lineage: Eukaryota; Metazoa; Chordata; Mammalia; Rodentia; Cricetidae. The record is from RNAcentral.
UGUGCCUCCCACUCGAAGGUGAAGGGUCCUGCUCAGGUGAAGGCUGCGCUCUGCUAUUCAGACCAUGUCAGAGAACACCGGGCGCUUCCACGCCUCACUGCUGUGAAGGUUGAUGAACUUGUGUGGUAUCCCUCGACAUUCCAUAUGACCUUCGGGACGGCUUUUCUAUUUCUGAAAAAAAAGAAAAGAAAAAGAAAAAGUCACCGGGACUCGGGUGGGACAGCAGGACCUCAGGGGGCAACUGAGGAAAGAGCCUGGGAGUGAGAUUAAAACCACGGAUCUGAGAUCGAAAUCCAUGCCGGGCGCGCGUGAGUGAACCUAACUUAGC